GGCUGAGUGGAAACGGAUAGAGUUGACGUAUCUAGCGCGUAUUCAGUUGGUGCUUGCGGCUAACGGCUGCGAGUGAGCGUCGUCUCGGCGGCGUUUGCUUGCGGUCGGUUGGUUGUGAGUGCUGAUGCAUUUGCGUGCUAUUGUGCGCCGGGGUGGGUGCGCUGGUCGUUUGCUGCUUGAACACGAGGAUGCAUGCUUCGGCAUGUAAAACCGGGUUCUUGUUUGCGGGCGGUUCGGUGUGCUCGCGUUCUGCGGCUCGUUCGUGUGGCGGUUUGUCAUGUUUGUGGCGUAUGGCGGUUGCUUGCAACACGUGUACGCCGUAGACUUGGUGGCUGUCGCAUUCGCGGGUCUCUCCCGGUGUAAAUGUCGAUCAUCUAUCCGACCCGUCUUGAAACACGGACCAAGGAGUUUAACGUAUGCGCGAGUCAUUGGGUGUUAAAACCUAAAGGCGUAAUGAAAGUGAUUUUUACGCGACCCUAUGCACUUCGGUGUAGCAGGAGCAGCGUAGCCCCGUUCUGAUCGCUUGCGAUAGGGCGGAGGAUGAGCGUAUGCGUUGAGACCCGAAAGAUGGUGAACUAUGCUUGAGCAGGACGAAGUCAGAGGAAACUCUGAUGGAAGUCCGAAUC
This 626-nucleotide ribosomal RNA is filed under the name Sphaerularioidea sp. fem2. RNAcentral describes it as "partial large subunit ribosomal RNA". It matches the Rfam family "Eukaryotic large subunit ribosomal RNA", at positions 407 to 881 of the family's 3401-position model. Lineage: Eukaryota; Metazoa; Nematoda; Chromadorea; Rhabditida. The record is from RNAcentral.